GACGAACGCUGGCGGCGUGCUUAACACAUGCAAGUCGAACGGAAAGGCCCUGCUCUUGUGGGGUGCUCGAGUGGCGAACGGGUGAGUAACACGUGAGUAACCUGCCCUUGACUUUGGGAUAACUUCAGGAAACUGGGGCUCAUACCGGAUAGGAGCUCCUGCUGCAUGGUGGGGGUUGGAAAGUUCCGGCGGUUGGGGAUGGACUCGCGGCUUAUCAGCUUGUUGGUGGGGUAGUGGCUUACCAAGGCUUUGACGGGUAGCCGGCCUGAGAGGGUAACCGGCCACAUUGGGACUGCGAGACGGCCCAGACUCCUACGGGAGGCAGCAGUGGGGAGUAUUGCACAAUGGGCGGAAGCGUGAUGCAGCAACGCCGCGUGCGGGAUGACGGCCUACGGGUUGUAAACCGCUUUCGCAGGUGACGAAGCGUGAGUGACGGUAAUGGGUAAAGAAGCACCGGCUAACUACGUG
This 468-nucleotide ribosomal RNA is filed under the name uncultured bacterium. RNAcentral's name for it is "partial 16S ribosomal RNA". It matches the Rfam family "Bacterial small subunit ribosomal RNA", at positions 28 to 507 of the family's 1533-position model. The record is from RNAcentral.